This 353-nucleotide ribosomal RNA is filed under the name uncultured bacterium. RNAcentral's name for it is "bacterial SSU rRNA". It matches the Rfam family "Bacterial small subunit ribosomal RNA", at positions 32 to 359 of the family's 1533-position model. The record is from RNAcentral.
AAUCAACGCUGGCGGCGUGCCUCAGACAUGCAAGUCGAACGCGAAAGUUCCCUUCGGGGAGCAAGUAGAGUGGCGCACGGGUGAGUAACACGUAGGUAAUUUGCCUUCGGGUGGGGAAGUAACAGUCGGAAACGACUGCCAAUACCGCAUAAUGCAGCGGCUCGACAUCGAGACAGUUGUUAAAGCGGGGGAGUCCUUCGGGACCUCGCGCCUGAAGAGAAGCCUGCGGCAGAUUAGCUAGUUGGUGAGGUAAUGGCCCACCCAAGGCUACGAUCUGUAACCGGCCUGAGAGGGCGGUCGGUCACACUGACACUGACAUACGGGUCAGACUCCUACGGGAGGCAGCAGUCGGG